AUAUAACUAGGCGGAGGAAAAGAAACUAACCAGGAUUCCCUUAGUAACGGCGAGUGAAGCGGGAACAGCUCAGAGCGAAAAUCUUCGGAAUUGUGCUCUAGAGAAGCCGAAUCGACUCUUGCAGCGGGCAAAGUCUCCUGGAAUGGAGCGCCAUGGAGGGUGACAGCCCCGUUCGUGCCUGCUGGGCGGAGUGCUUGAUCGGUUUUCAACGAGUCGAGUUGUUUGGGAUUGCAGCUCUAAGCGGGUGGUAAAUUCCAUCUAAAGCUAAAUAUUGGUGGGAGACCGAUAGCGCACAAGUA
RNAcentral lists this ribosomal RNA (299 nucleotides) under uncultured eukaryote. Its description in RNAcentral is "partial large subunit ribosomal RNA". It matches the Rfam family "Eukaryotic large subunit ribosomal RNA", at positions 40 to 350 of the family's 3401-position model. The record is from RNAcentral.